AUAGGGUCCACUCCAUGGUUACCAGGGGUGAUUCAGAUAGGGUCCACUCCAUGGUUACCAGGGGGGAUUCAGAUAGGGUCCACUCCACGGUUACCAGGACGGAUUCAGAUAGGGUCCACUCCACGGUUACCAGGGGGAUUCAGAUAGGGUCCACUCCACGGUUACCAGGGGGGAUUCAGAUAGGGUCCACUCCAUGGUUACCAGGGGGAUUCAGAUAGGGUCCACUCCACGGUUACCAGGGGGAUUCAGAUAGGGUCCACUCCACGGUUACCAGGGGGAUUCAGAUAGGGUCCACUCCACGGUUACCAGGUCAGCUUCAGAUAGGGUCCACUCCACGGUUACCAGGGGGAUUCAGAUAGGGUCCACUCCACGGUUACCAGGUCAGCUUCAGAUAGGGUCCACUCCACGGUUACCAGGUCAGCUUCAGAUAGGGUCCACUCCACGGUUACCAGGGGGAUUCAGAUAGGGUCCACUCCACGGUUACCAGGUCAGCUUCAGAUAGGGUCCAUUCCACGGUUACCAGGGGGAUUCAGAUAGGGUCCACUCCACGGUUACCAGGUCAGCUUCAGAUAGGGUCCACUCCAUGGUUACCAGGUCAGCUUCAGAUAGGGUCCACUCCACGGUUACCAGGUCAGCUUCAGAUAGGGUCCACUCCACGGUUACCAGG
Long non-coding RNA from Oncorhynchus tshawytscha (Chinook salmon), 667 nucleotides. The record is from Ensembl. Lineage: Eukaryota; Metazoa; Chordata; Actinopteri; Salmoniformes; Salmonidae.